CUAGAAAGUCUUACAAUCUGAAACGGAGGGAGUACUGUCAAUCGCCGCAUCUACGCGUGGGCGCGCGGCUGCGCCGCCUCCGCAAAGCCGCUGCCGCCAACGACGGCAAAAGGAGAGCCGCGGCGGCCAUAAGUCGAACGGACCACCGCCGUGCCAGACGUGUACCACCUUCACUGCCGGGGCGCAGCGCCGCCGAUGGCCGCCAUCGCCGGGCACAGAGCCACCGCACUGAGCAAUAUGGGUCCUUCGUUCCCACUGAAGGAACCGUUGAUGGAUCUGUUUUGUGUACGUUCUUCCCCCCUUAUUUUUUUCUAAGAACUAAUGCAUCUUGUUUCAUAUGUCUGAUGGGUUUUGGAUUUGCAAGUUCAGAGUACUGCAUCUAUCGUUCCUAGUGCCUAGUUCGGCUGGAGUUUCAUCAAGGCUGACUGGACCACCAGCAAGGAAAAAACAUCAACUUGUUUUUAUUUUGGCACUGCUUACAGUCUUACACUAAUUUAUACAUUAUUCUUGGUCCUCUGUUAUCUGGGCUUUGGUGGAGAUAAUAUAAUCCAAUCAGAAAGUUCAUUA
Molecule: long non-coding RNA, 567 nt
Filed under: Oryza sativa (Asian cultivated rice)
Lineage: Eukaryota; Viridiplantae; Streptophyta; Magnoliopsida; Poales; Poaceae
Description: long non-coding RNA (OSAT_LNC001469)
Source: RNAcentral